AUGGCGGCGAAGGCAGCUGUGACCGCCGGCGAUGUGUGUGUGCUGAAGCGGUGCCAGCAGCAUGGCGGUCAAGAUCUGAAGGAGAAGAAGGGAACCAAAAGGAAAGCAGAGGAGGCACCAGAAGGCGACGAAUCUCCACUGGAGGUCUGCUCCAUCAGAAGGAAAACAGCCGGGAUCGACUGCUCUGAGUUGGGGCAGGGAGCCACACCGGCGACGGCGGCGGCAGCCAGGCGCGAGGAGGCUCCGGAGAGAAAGAUGACGAGGCUGCCGCAGGAGGAGGUGGAUUCCAUCCUAACCAAGGAGAUGGAUGACGACUCUCUCCCUCCCGAGUACAAGGCCCUGAAGCGCCACAACCCUGCCCUGAUUCCUUCGCCGGAAGAGGAGAUGGACGAGGACGUGGUGAGCUUCUACAACGUCGUGCGCUUUUUCUACGAGAUUGGAGAGGAUUUCAGGGAAUUCCAGGCCUGGGUCCGCACCGAGUACGCCAAGAAUGGCUACGUCGAGGUGGAUGAUGAGUACCUGCGCCAUCAACAGGAGAUGGAAGCAAUGAACGAAGCAGCACGCAAGGAGGCACUCAAAGCCUUCGAUUUUUCAGACUUGCUCGACUUCUGA
Molecule: ribosomal RNA, 612 nt
Filed under: Triticum aestivum (bread wheat)
Lineage: Eukaryota; Viridiplantae; Streptophyta; Magnoliopsida; Poales; Poaceae
Description: partial small subunit ribosomal RNA
Source: RNAcentral